UUUAGCACGGCCGGAGUCCAGCCCGUGCUCAACCCUCUGGGUGCUACUCCUCGCCCAAUCUGAUGGAUUUUGGUCCGUAAUCACACGUAUGUCCCUCGAUUACUGAUGAUGUCCUUCGAAAAUGACCUGAAAUGAGAAAGGAAACAAAAGAUAGGUGAUUCUAGCAUAAAACGGGAUAAUCAUGCAUAAAAAAUGUAAACAAUCGGGCAUGAAAACAUGUGUAUUAUGAUGCUUAUCAGAGACUAAAUUGCAAACUUUUCACAAACUUCCUCUAUUUAGGGCCAAUCAGUUCUAUGUAGAGCCGACGGCUCUACACAAUGUCGAUUUGUGUUUUCUUGGUUUGACGUCAUUCUUUUUAUACUUUUACAUCCAGAUACAUAAUCUAGAAGGUAUUUAACGAUAAUUGACAGACUAUAAUAAUAUUUUUUUGAAUUUUAAAGAUUUAAUUUAUUAGAUAUUGGUAAAUAAUUAUCGAUCCUUUAAGAAAUAGCUUAAAAUAAGAUUGAAGUCUGUAUGCUCCUCUAAGGUUUUCUUAAAAACCUACCUCUAUAAAUAGAAAGUGAUGACUAGGGUUGGGGGGACGAACAACAAUGAUCGAUCAAAAGAUUGUUAUUGAAAACCCUACAUUGAUUUUAAAGUAGAAGGUAUUUUUAGUAACUAAGGAGCGAGGAUCACUAAGAAAGGAUUCAAGAUUUGGAAACUUUUAUGAAACGAUAGAAGCUUAUUCAAUACUUUAUCCAGUACUGCAUUUCCAACCGAUCUUCGAUUCAACUACGUCAUCAUCUCCUGAGACUCGCAGAAUAAUCAACUACGGUGACUACUUGAGGGUUCCCCAACAUCCAUCAUCAUCAACAUCACUCUCCCAUUAAACUAGUUUUUCUGUUCUUUUAUGUUUUUAGAAACAUGAUUAGGAUUUCCUUAUUGUUGUUUUACAUAUUUGAUGUGAUUAGAGUAGAAUUUCUUAUGAAUUAAAAUUUUGCUGAUUUUAUUGGGAUUGAAUUUUAUAAUAAGAACACUAGGGUUUUGAAUCUAAUAAUAUGUCUAUCUUUGGAUUUUGAAUAUGAUAGGUCAAAUUAUUAAGAUAUUAUUAUUACAUUUGCAUUCUCUUUAUGUUUUGUCAUCAUAUUAGUUUAUUAGGGUUAUAUAAUUAAAAUAUGAAAUUUGCCAUGUUUGUUCAUUGUAUGUUUAGACUUUUGGGGUUUGCAUGACCUUUUAGGGGUUCUGGUUUAAUUUGAUGUUAUUUGUAACUUUUAUCUUGUUUAUUUCGUGUUCUAAUUAAUUAUUUACCUUAUGUGCAUGUAAAAUUAGCUCUAGGACAUGACAAUUGUAAAAAAAAAAAAAAAACUGUAGAAACCAGCCUGGAGAAGCCCUAGAGCCGAUCGGCUCAGUGUAGAGCCAAUUGGCUCUAUGUUAGUAGAUCGGCUUAGCUCAUUUUCACUGAUUUUUGGAAUUUUAUGGGUUUUUGAUGUAUUUUUUGUGAUUUUAUGUACUGUGACUUAGUUUUAAGGUUUUUCUUUACAAUUUUCAGUUGUAGACUGAAUUAUAAUAGCUAGAUUUACUUUCUGCACUUUAUUUUUUAUUUAUUUUUGGUUUAAUGUAUAUCAAAUAACUGUAAUAUGACUAGUUAACUAAAAUAGGACACAUAGACUUUAGGUUAAAAUCAAAUUCUAUAUGAAAAUUGUAGUCCAUUAGGAUAAUCAAUAUGGGCUUAUGUUCUAAAAUUAAUAUAGAUUUAAUUGACUCUACCAUGUUUUAGUUAGGUUAGUUGGGCCAUAUUAGAUUUAGGUUCACACAGUUAGGCUUUAUCGUAAUAAGUAGUCCAUCUAGGAUUAAAGACUUGGUAAAACACAACUUAUAAUUAGGCUAGACUAAGAGGACCUUAUACAUAAUUAACAAGUAAGUUAGAUUAAUAAUUUUAACAUGGGUUGGGCUUGAUAAAAAUAGGCUAGACUUAAGUGAACUAUAUGUGUUAUUUGGUAUGCUUGUUUAUAAACUGUUGUGUUUAUACGAAAUGAUUAGUUAAACAAUAAAAUUAAAGACUGAGACACACAAAUAAGGAAGUUGGCUUCUGGAUCCAUCUUUGGAUUUGUGACAUAAGCUUCCUUAGUCAUUAGUAAAGGUGCCCCGAUGAGUUACCUCGGUGACGACUCCCAUCUCCGUGCUAGUCUCAGUGACUCCCAUCGCUCGAAAUCGCCGCCCAUAGUGGCGACUCCACUUGAGAACUUGAUUUCAGUGUAUGUUUAUCUUUAACUUUAUUAUUUAAUAAAUUAUUCUUGCAUCACUACACCAUUUUCACACACUGUGCACUUUGGUUCCUGUAGCCCCGAUGGCAUUAGAUAAUGGUUUUUUGGUUCCACUCGAAUCCUAGAAUUGCAACACUAACUAACCAUCACUCACCAGUAAUGAGUGAAUUCCCUUCAUCGUAUGGACCCUUGAGUGGGAAGAGGAGCCAAGGAAGACCACUUUUUACUUAUGGGAGUCUUUAUUCUUACCCAAGAUUCAGCUCAUGGUAAUGACUGUAAAAAUCUCCCUUAGGAACCCUAUUGAUUGCUUUAUGAAAUUUUUAUCCUUAUAAGUGUCUAAAACCCAAGUAUAAAAUGCUUGGGCCCAAAAUAUAUGGAAUCAGGCCCUAGACCCAAAAUAUUCAGGCUUUUAUGCUUAUACUGAGAAAUAUUGUCUUAUUUAGUUUAAAAUCUACUUUGAGAGCUUAUGGCAUGUGUGUCAGGCCUACUAUCCCCUAUUGAUAGAAAGCCUAAACCCAAAUUCCUAGGGAACAAAGCCUCACCACUAACCGUGUGUAGGAGUAAUAAGAUUGGAAGGAUGAAUUGUAUAUUAUAAUGUUUGCUAACCCUUUUCUUUUCUUUUUUAUCGUUGUGCAUUGCACGUGCAUCAUACAUAUCACGUACCGCAUGCAUCAUACUAAUUCUUUUUUUAGCUACAUAGAUUCUCUUGUGGGUUAGAAGAGGCAAGAUAGUGGGAGGCUGGAAAGAAUACCUAUUUCUUAGAGAAUCCGGGUUAUGUUAGAACAUCUUGAAAGACCAAGACGUCAAGCUAUUGAAGCUACAUCUGAACUGACCAACGAAAGAGCUAACAAGCAAGACGUUGAGAUCCUCAUGAAUGUCAUCAUUGAUAAAUUGGGGAGGUGUAAUUCGGGAAGAGCUCCAACAACUUUUAGCUGGGAUGGCUGCAAACCAAGCCCCACAUGCUGCUCCUAUUGCACCAACUAAUCCCCAUGUUGCUGCUAACCCGGCUGUAGUUGCCAUUGCAGUUGCUCCUGCUAAUGCCAAUGCUGAGGACCCAACUAGGAAUGGAGUGCCCCAAAAAAAGUUUUGGGAACUUGAUGAAUUUAUGCUAGACCAAGCUAAGAGGGAGACUGCCUUUACUACCAAUAAAGCUACAAGUGGCUUGAGCGCUAGGCUUGACAAAAUACAAGGCAUGCUUGAAAUCAAAGGUUUAGGCCCUGCAUAUGAUUUCGAAGAGUUGAUUUUGAUAGGUGAAGACAAGCUGCCUGGAAAGUCUAGAAUGCUCGAGAUGAACAAGUUCAACAUGACUGGUGAUUCGAAAGUUCAUAUGAAAUAGUAUGUAACAAUCAUAGGAACUCUCAACUGAGUAGAACCCAAAUUAUCAAGCUAUUUGUGUUGUCUCUUAAAGACCCACUGUAAAUUGGUACCAUGGUCUUGAAAAAUCUGCCAAAGUUGAAUGACGUGAUUUAUGUAACUCUUUUGUCAAACAAUAUAAUUACAAUACUCAUUUGGAAGUGUCAAUUAAAGAUCUCGAGUCCACCAAGCAAAAGCCAAAUUAGUCCUUAUCUAAUUUCUUGACUAGAUGGAGGAAUAAGGCUGGAUUAAUGAAAAAUAAGCCCUAUGAAAAGGACCAAGUUCAUAUGGUGGUCCGCAAUGUUUUUCCAGGAUUGGUUGAAAGGUUGUAGAUGAUGAACCCGAAGACCUUCAUGGAUUUGUACAAUGAUGGGCUAAAGGUUGAAGAGAUCGAAAAUGACAAAAUAUGUACUUUGAUAGAGUAGUGAAUGCAAGAGGUGUAGGGUUAGGAGUAGUUUUGAUCACGCCAAGAGGAGAAAUGCUACCAAUGGCCUAAAGAUUGGACUUUAGAGUGACCAAUAACAUGGCGAAGUAUAAAGCAUAUUUUUUGGAUUAGAAGCAGUCGUGGUAGCAGGAUCUAAGCAGUUGAUAGUCUACGAGGACUCCAUAUUGGUAAUCCAACAAGCCCUCAAGGAAUGGAAAGUAAAAGAAAAGAGGUUGAAGGCGUAUGUUAACUAUUUCAAGACUUUAGUAUGUAAUUUAUCCAAGUGUUCCUUUGUACACUUACCUCGAGAUGAGAAUCAGAUGGCGGACGUGUUGGCUACCCUAUCGUCUAUGUGGGUCAAUCCCUUAUAGCUUUCGGUGAAACCUUUGGUGAUUGUGAAGUCGAGUGCGCCAUGUUAUCAAGGGGUCGGAUAAUGCAAGUUCAUAUAUGAACAAAAGAGAAGCCUUGGUUUUAUGAUCUAAAGAGGUUUAUAGAAAAUAGGGAAUAUCCAGAGGAAGUGACUACAAGGGAAAGAUACAUGCUGAGGGUUCAAGCCAAAAAUUGCAUCAGCCAUGAGGGAGUCCUGUAUAAAAGGAUGGUGUCUGGUGUACAGCUCCGAUGUGUGACUAAAAUAGAAGCUCAAGUAGUGAUGAAAGAGAUGCACAAAGGAGUAUGCAGGCCUCAUAUGAAUGGCAUAGUGUUAAUAAGGAAGAUCAUGGAGCAAGGAUAUUAUUGGUUAACGAUGGAAAAGGAUUGUAUAGCAUUAGUGAGGAAGUGCUGUGAAUGCCAAUUAUACAGUGACUUUAGUCACAUACCUCCAACCGCGCUGCAAAAAUAGCUUGGGGAAUCGACAUCAUUUGGAGAAAUAAAACCUCCCUCGAAUGGUCACAGGUUCAUAGUCGUGGCAAUUGACUACUUCUCUAAAUGGGUCGAAGCUAAGUCGUUCACUACUGUGGGAGCAAAGCAAAUGGCCAGAUUUAUAAAAAGCAACAUGAUUUACAAAUAUAAGGUCCCACAUCAUGCUGUGAUGGAUAAUAGGUACAGUUUAUGGGGGAGACAGUGGACCUGCAAGCAGAAUAUAAGAUCAAGCAUCAUAAGUCUUCUCCGUAUAGACCUCAAGCAAAUGGAGCGGUAGAAGUAGCCAACAAGAACCUGAAGAAAAUACUCUUUCGAAGAUGGUGUGGAAUCAUAAGGACUGGUCAUUUUGGUUAUCCUUUGCAUUUUCGGGAUAUUGAACAACUGAGCAAACAUCGACUGGGCAAACACCAUACUCUAUGGCUUACGGGACUAAAGCGGUUUUUCCGGUUGAGCUAGAAUUGAAGUCUUUGAGAGUUGUAUUUAAGGUUGAAAUAUUAAAGUAUCAACGGGUUGAGGAAAGCUACUAGUAGUUGGCUUUAGUUGAUGAAAAAAGGAUGAAAGCCCUAUACCACAGGCAAGUGUAUCAUAAAAGGACAGCUAGGGCAUUUAAUAAGAAAGUGAAGUCAGAAAAGAUCAGAGCUGGAGAUCUAGUAUUGAAGCACACAAGACCUAUUGCAUUUGACCCGAGAGGAAGUUUAGACCGAAUUGGGAAGGCUCAUACUUGGUAAAGAAGAUCCUGCCUAAAUGUGCUGCUAAAAUCUCAGACCUGGAAGAGAACGAGUUCAUUGAACCAAUCAACUUAUAUCGUCUCAAGAAAUACUAUGUAUAAAAAUAAAUAAUAGAAAAGAAUAGCCUACUGAUCGAAAAACUUAAAAAGGAUGGUCAGGCAAAAAGAGAGAAAAUAAUUAGCUAGAAAAUCUGAAAAGACUACUGAUAAUAGGAGUUAUAUCUUGAGAAAUCAAAAUGUACCCAUCUGGACUUCUACUAAAUGAAUAAAUUAUUUAGAAUUAUUAUCAAACAGAUAUAUGUUUGUUUACCAUUAUCCGUACUAACUGAAAGAAAAAACAAAGCUAAAAUUCCUAAGCAAAAUAAAUGAGAUCUAAAAAAAAAUAUAUUUUCUAUCUUCUUCUCGCAUAUGCAUCCCUAGAUAAAGCAGCUAGCUCUCGAGUCCUCUUAAAUCAUGCAAAACAAGGAGAAGUGGAAAUCUGAAGUUGAACCCAAGCCUUGAAGUUAUCAUCAGUAGUCAGAUCUCCCUCAAAGUCAAGGUUGCGCUCUGUGUCUCGACGGGGUCAAAGUCUUUCAACCUUAUCCAAGAAACCUUGUAUGAGUGGGAAGCCUUCGAAUUCAGGUAGGAAUUCCAAGAUCCAUUGCUUCUGCCUAUACUAGCGGCAAAGUCUCAAAGGUGUGUAAAAGGUGGAUGCCUGUAAUUCAAGUAAGGGUACACGAUCACCAUACACCAUGAGUGUGACUUGCUUGAUUCUCAACCAAGGGCAAGCCCUGCGAAUGACUGUGUCCAGGAUGCCUUUUAUCUAGGAAAUCCAGCCAUCAUGUCCUUGUGGGGCAAUAACAGAUCGAAUGUGCACGUGCUUUGGCUCGUACUUAUCGACGUUCCUCGGGAUGCUCAAUAUAUAAAGCUUCUUGGCACAGCCAAAUCUACAAAAAGAGAUAGAAAAAUAAAAAAAGAGAAAAAAGAGAAAUAAGCUAAAUCGAAAAUUUGAAAGGGUGGCUUAGGCAAAACUAAAGUCUGCUAAGUCAAAAACUCGUAAGAGCGGCUUAGGCAAAUGUUGGGAUAAAAGCCUACUAAGUUGAAAAUCUGAAAGGGCGACUUAGAUAAAAAUUAAAAUGAAAAAAAUGAAUAAUAAAAUAGUAAAAGAAAGGAGAUCUGGCUGUAUAUGUGUAAGAGAACGAGGCUACCACCAAACUGUUGAUGGAUUUUGUACAUGUCUAACCCAAUGAUGAUUUCAGCCAAGAUGACUGAAAUUGGAUCUACUCCAUGCUCCAUAUGGUCAAUAAUGCCAGUAAUUUUGAUAUUUCCCCCUCUUUGGGGAGAAAUCAGUAAAAAUUAGGCAUAAAGGCAAAAGCCCAGCAUCCGAAUCCAAGAAGCUGUGCCCUUUUCCUUCUUCUCACAACAAGAGAUCAGCAAAGUAAGGGUAACGUAUUCACCAAUAGGAUGGAAAAGUACCUCAUCUUGGGGCAUAUCGAACAAUUCCACCAGUUUGCCAGGAAAAGGCUCAUCGAGUUUUGGCAGGGCAAUAGGAUGAGUAGAAUCCAUGGGGCCUACAAGAAUAGCAGAGAAUUCUUCAAUUAUGGGGCACAACUCUUGUCCAUUGAAUCUAAAGACAUGGUCCCUUAGACACCAAAAGUUGAUAGUAUAAUAGAGUAAUCUAUAAUCAAGUUUGGCGUGUUACAUGGCUUUGAAAGAUGAAAGAUGGAAUUUUCCAAGUUUAAUCCAAUCAUCACUUGUUAGUGUUUUUAGGAGAGUUUUUAGGCUUUUAGCACUCUUUAAAGACAUAUCUUCUGGCUGUUUAAAGUGUAAAAACACAUGUGAAGAAGUGAAGAGGCGCAUGGGUAAAUAUAGGCCUUGAAUCAGUGUCUAAUUUGGACUCUGCAAACUACAGAGCUAAUUAGGUAAGAGAGUGCACUUCCUACUUUCUCUUAUAAUCUUAUUCAAAGUUAUCAUGGCUUCAGGUGUUAAAAUACCCUUCCAUGUGCAACCUUUUACAUAUCUAUUGUGUAGUCGCACUAUACAUUUUUACUUAAGUACGUCUAUUAACUUCACAAUUGGAAAAUUUCUAAUUUUUCCUAUCCAAGAGUUAAAAGACUAUGUCAUGUUGUUAGUGACAUGAUCACUCUUGGCUUCUUCAUUGCCUCUUCCUAAGUAUUAGUUCAAGCAAUCCAUGAAAAACAUCGACCUAGCUUUGCACUCAUUCUCUACAACUACUAUUGCCAAAGGUAAACUCCUUUAUUCAUAUCAAAUAAAAUAGGUGAUAAAACACAUCCUCUAAAUGGCCCUUCAAGUAGCAGCCAUCUAAACCUAUAAAAGGCCUACACCCUUCUACAAAUCCUUUAAUAAUUGGCUCAAAACUCAAAAAGAAGUACUUGAAUGUUGGUGGGACAUCAAAUGAUUUUAUUCCUUGAAAUUCCAUUUUAACAGGUACUAGGAUUGAUUUGUCUCAAGAAAUUAAUAUAAGUGUUAAGUUUCUUAAAUGAGUCCUCAUGGGUAGAUGCACUACAUUCUCUUCCUUUAGUUCUAGCCCUAUAUAAUUGCCACAUAGGCACAUCUAUGCCUUAUUUCUUUGUUAACUCGGCACACAUCAAUUCAUAACUCAAUUUAGGAUUAAUCUCCAACAUAUCAGAUAACUUUUCAGUUACCCAUUGAGUGGAUGCAUUUUUGUCUUUAUUAUCCACUGGCAUUAUACAAGUAUGUUCCCCUUUCAAAGUCUUGAUCAUGAAUGUUUUCUUGUCUAGAAGUUCAGAAGCAGGGAUCCUCCAUUGGCAAUUUUCACCUAAGCAUAUAGUUGUCCCUCUAUCUAUAUCAUUCUUUGUCUUUUUAAGAGCAUACCCUCCUUUUACAGCAUAGUCUCUUAAGGCAUUCCUAAAAUCUUGCACACUAACAAAUGUAUGGCCUACUUCAAAACUAUAGUCACCAUCACCAGUACUACUGAAAGGAUUAGAGUACAUAGCUCUAAAAGGAUCCCUCCCUCUCCUUUUCCUUUCUCUAGUCCUACCUAUACUAUCUUCAUUUUCAAAUGAAGAUAUCCCAAUACUCACAUCGGACCUUAUAUCACUAAGGCUAUCAUUAUUAUUCAUUAUGCAAAACUCAUCCUCUCCAAACAUUUCUCCAUUCACUUAAUUUUUAGAGCUACUGCUAGUAUCUUCAUCACCAACCUCUUUGAUUUGUUAUGUUUAUCCUGGUCUAUAACGGACGUGAAAUAUUAUUAAUGACCAAUUAGAUUUGUAUAUGGCAUGUUAGACAUGAUUAAUAUUAUGUUUUCUUAUGCAUUUUAUUGAAUAUCGAUUAGUAAGACUUACUACGGUACUUGGUAGCCUUAAGCCUACUCAUUCCCUAGUACCGGUCACGGGCCCACAGAUUCGGUCGUGAUAAAGUUGGUAUCAGAGCAGGACCCCUUUAGUAGAUGUGCGAUUCGAGGAGGAACCAAGCGGAAGCUGGUGGGCAUGUGACAGCCUGGCCUAGAGAAGCGGUCCGACAAGGGCGGAAAGUGGACGCCGGAGCAAAAAUAGGAUGCCUGUACAAGGAGCGGCUUCUGGCAGGCUUCUAGGAUGGCAGCACUCUAAGGUACAGAGGUACAUGAAUGAAUCGAAUUACACAUUGAAAUGGGAUGGGGAAUAGUUGAUAACAUAUAUGUAAAGAGUUGGAACUAAUCACAUGAGGUGCCUUUUGGUUGUUUGGCUAUAGAGUUGUAGGAACUCUAAAGUUAAACGUGCUUUGUUCAGGAUGGGGGACCUCUUGGAAAGUUUGAGUAGGACCUCCUGGGAAGUUCUUGAACUCGCCAAAGGGACAAAACCGUGAGGCCAGUGAGGCUAAAGCAGUUAAUAUCUCAUUUAAUCCAGUUCCGGGUCGUUACAGAUUGUUGAGGUAUUUCAAAUUCCAGUAUGGUUGAUUCAGCUAUUUCAAGUCAUGUUAUAAUUGGUUCAAGUACUUCAGGUUUUAGUAUAGGUUGUUCAGGCAUUUUAGGUUCAGGUAUUUCAAUUUCUGGUAUAGUUGGUUUUAGUGUCUCAGGUUUUACAAGUGGAUGAAUACGAGUUCUAUUCAUAACUGGUUCACUAAUAAUGGCUUCAGGAGGUGUUGCAUACCUCUUAUACACCCUAAUAGUGAUUACAGGGCUGUCCUUGUAUUGCCUAAACAUAUUAUUUACAUCCUCAUUACUUCUCAAAACCAUCAUGUUAUCCACCAUACAAUGUAUAAAGUCACUUUUUACAAUGAACCUCCUAAAGACAUUAGACAUAAAUUCAAAAUAUGAAUACUUCUUUGGAAAGAUAUUAUCAAUAGUAACUUCUUGAUCUUGAAAUUGAACUUGCAACUUGUAGAACUCUACAUAUUUCUUUGUAUAAAACAAAAACAUAUUAAAAUCUCAAUUUCUUUUGGAAAAUCCUGGUUUUAAUCAAUUAAAGAUUAAAAUUCCAAAAUCUUUUGAAAAGCCCUAAUUUUAAUCAAUCACAAUUAUGUUUCAAAUCCUAAUUCCAAUUUCUAUUAAAUUCUCUAACAGACAAACAAAUCACUACAAAAAUCACAAUGCACAAAUACAAACUGAACACAGUUCUUUUGUACCUUUAUUGCUUCCUUCAAACCCACAUGUUGUGCUUCCUUCAAACGCACUAUAUUUUUUAGAAUCAAUUUCAAGGAUAUGAGAAAUAAUUUUGUGCUUUUGGUUUAAGUAAUAUUCAUAUUUCUAAGACAGUACGAGAAAGAGAAAGAGAGAGAGAGGAGAGUUAGGUUUUAUUUUUAGAU
This 10348-nucleotide long non-coding RNA is filed under the name Ricinus communis (castor bean). RNAcentral's name for it is "long non-coding RNA (RCOM_LNC000570)". Lineage: Eukaryota; Viridiplantae; Streptophyta; Magnoliopsida; Malpighiales; Euphorbiaceae. The record is from RNAcentral.